Molecule: transfer RNA, 73 nt
Filed under: Nippostrongylus brasiliensis
Lineage: Eukaryota; Metazoa; Nematoda; Chromadorea; Rhabditida; Heligmosomidae
Rfam family: tRNA
About the family: Transfer RNA (tRNA) molecules are approximately 80 nucleotides in length.
Source: Rfam by way of RNAcentral
GUCUCAGUGGCGUAGUGGUUAACGCACGGUCUCGGUUAGGCGCGAGGCGUGGGUUCGAACCCUGCCUGAGUUG